Molecule: long non-coding RNA, 7850 nt
Organism: Manis javanica (Malayan pangolin)
Lineage: Eukaryota; Metazoa; Chordata; Mammalia; Pholidota; Manidae
Source: RefSeq, a predicted model, not a curated record
UGCAGACGCACAGUGAAGCGGAAACGUUUCACACACACAAGUCAGUAAUGAGAAAAGAGCAACUUCCUCUCACUGAGAAGGCAGGAACUGGAAAUUCAAGUAAUGAUGAAAUGGCAGUAAUCGCCUUCAGUCAAAUGGCAAAAACAUAGAAGAGCUCCUGUCCCUGUUCCAGGACUCUGCUGACGGCUCCGGGGGCUUCUCUGAGGAUGUCCCCCGGAGUGUGCACGUGGCCGUCUCCCUGCUGACCAGGCCCUGCAAACUCGAGCCUCCCGGCUUCCCUGGCCUUCAAGCCUCAUUUCUUCAACUCAGGCUGAGAGGUGCUGCCUGGAUUCUCUGCGACCUGGAACCUCAGAGCACGUGACCCGGGAUGUCCGCCACCCUGCCUCUCCUUGGGGCCAUGUUCCCACGUGCCAAGCUUCACGCAGAAAGGCCUGCAGAGGAAGGACAACACCGGGCCGGCCAAGACGGAAGACACGUUAAGGCUCGUGAUGGGGCAGCUGGGUUUUCACUGUUAGGCAAGGUCGCCCACGUGAUGAAACUGCACAGAGCCACGCACGCACACGCACGGGAGCGUUUAGGGCUGGCGAGAGCCCAAGAGGCCCUGUGGGCUGCCCCAGUGCCGAUUUCACGGCUGUGACGUUGUCGCCCAGCUGUAAGGACAUGGGGUCACAGCCAAGAAGCUAGGGGGUAGCUGGAAGAUCACCCCCGAGUCUCACGCCCAGAAGGACGUGGGAGUUUGUUCGGCCAGCAGACGGGAAGAGCAGAUUCAGAGCUGGCCAGCCUGGACCCCGCCUGCCGGGCCCUGGAGAGGAGCAGCGGGCGCCCUGCCCCUCAGGGCGCGCCUCGGGGCUCGCCCUCUGAGGGCUCUGGGCUCCCGGCAGACCCUCUUGGCUGCGUGCAGAGUGGCCCGCCCAGCCACCACACGCCUCCUCCUCCGUGCCACGCUCUCUCCCGGUGAGACCCACCCCCUGUGCCCCUCUGCCCCGGCUGUCCUGCCAGCACCCCACGGGCUGGGGCUCCAGCCCCAGGACCCCGUCUCCUCACGGCCCUGGGGGCUGUAGGCCCAGCUCAGGGUGCCGGCAGGGCUGGUUCCUGGCGAGGCUUCUGCCCGGCUUGCCGACGGCUGCCUCUCCCGGUGACCUCACGUGAUCUUCCCUCUGAGCUCCUGCAGGGAGAGAGGGCUCCAGGGUCCCCCUCUUCUUAUAGGGACACCAGUCUUGCUGGAGUGGGACCCCACGUAGGAUCUUGGGAGAUGCAGUGCAGAUCACAGCACACAACCCACUCCCGUGCUUUUGCUCACCCCAGACCAGCCUGUCUGCGCUCUCUGCCCCACCCCUGCCCCGGCAGCGAGACCCAGGCUGGCUUCCAGCGAUUUCCUGCCCCACCUGCCCCAGGCGACGUCUCCCAUUUUUUACCCUGGGCGCCCUGGGAGCUUCUAGGAUGUGAACUUUCUGCCUUGAUUCCUGAGAUCUGUGGGCUUGCGUUUGCUCCCUUCCUGGACUGGGAGAGGCCUGGAAGCAGCUUUACUACAUCUUUAACCACCACAGCACCCAACCCGGUUGCUCGAUAAGCAUUUACUGAAGUUUACUCCAGAGGGGGAACCACGCUAUCGCCGAGUACGUGUUCCCGAAAGGAAGAACGCAUUCUCAGUUCCUUAGCCAGUCCUGAGUAAACUUUCCCAGGACGCUCUGAGCUGGCAGAGCGGUGUUGGAAUAUGUGCUAAUUCAGGCUGAGUUUCCAGCGGCUCCUGUCACAAGUCACCACGAAGAUGCGGGCAUGCACAGCGUACGUCCAUCUCCUACAGUUCUGGAGGUCAGAAGUCCAAGCCCUGUCUCACUGGGCUGGAAUCAAGGUGCCAGCAGGCUGGCUCCUCCUGGAAGCUCCGGGGAAGAAUCUGUCCCUGGCCCGUCAGCCUGAGCAGGCUGCCCACAGUCCUUGGCCCCUGGCCGGUCCUCAGAGAGCUCCCACCUCUGCUCCCAGUGUCACACCUCCACUACUUAUUCUGACCCCCCUGCCUCCCCCUCCUGCAGGACAUUUCGAUCCCAGUGGCCCAUCCCUGUAACCCAGGACAAUCUCCCCUCUCAAGGUCCUUAAACUCAAUCUCAUCUCUGAAGUCUCUCCUGUAGCCAAAGGGGCCAUAGUCACAGGUGGGGCUGAGGGUCGUCAGGUGCCUCACCUGCCACGGGACUGGAGUCGUGUUAUGCCGAAGCAGGGCCGUCGCAGCGUCAGUUACAUCAGGGCAGGGCCUGCGCUCAGGUUUCCCUGCAGGCGGAGCAGAGCGCUGGCCAGAGCCAGGGACGCUGCACUGGGCUGCGAUGCGCCUCUACACCGUCCUUCAGCCCCAGUGUUCCCAGGCACAAGGUCGUGGGCACUGCUUCCUGUCACUCGGGGGCCCCUCCAGCCCCUCCCGCCCGUCAACCUGGGCUUUAAACCUCUUCUUCCCUCUUUUCCCUCCAAUGCACGUGCUGACCUCGAUGAUGGUUAAGUGGGCUUCACAGGAGAAGCAGUUUUUCCUCCCGGCAGCCUUAUGAGGGCCUCUCACUCCAAAUGCAAACGACUCAGGCUGGGUCUGAUUGCAGCGCGACUGUGUGUGUUCCCUGUCCUCCGGUUACUCACGCCAGCCAUGCUGCUCAGGGACGUGGUGCCGGCCUCUCGGGCUUGCUACUAGUCAGCAAAUGCUGGGGGGCCCCGGUGAGGACAGGACUCCCCGUGGUGAGGGCCGCAGAGGGUCCGGUGCCUGCUGUCCUCAGGCCCGUCAGCCUCCCGGCGGCCUGUCAAGCCUUCCAGCUCUGGUUACACACGGUGGCUUGCAAAGCGUCCGUUUGCAAAUGCGAUUGGCCCACAUCUCUUCUCAACACCCUUCAAAGCUCUCCUGGGGGAUCAUACUCUUCAGCAGGUGUUCAAGGCUCACCGCCACCCUGGCUUCCUGGCCUGCUGCUGUCUUACUCACCUCCGGGUUUCGUUCCGUGCCUGUGCGGCCACCACGCCGUCUCCGGCCUUCAUCCUUAGAUGGAUGUGCCUUUACCACUCAGCUUGGGUGUGGCCCCUCCAGGGAGCCUCCUCUGGCCCCAUGCCUGGAGCAUCCCCUCUCCACACUCACACACACUCGUGCACGUGCACGGGAGGCACCUGUCGGGAAUUAUCUCCAGAGGGGCCCCAUGAGGGCAGCGACCUGGUCCAAGUCCCCCACGGUGCUCAGCACCCCAUGGGAGAACAGGAUUAAAAUGAACUCAGGAGGCUGGUGUCCCGGCAGAAGACACCAGGCUGGCCCUUCCCUGUCCCUCUUACAGGAGCCCCAGUCCUCUGAUGCCUGUCACAGUGGCUCAUAGCCCCUGCAGCUUAUUAAAAAAAUCUUAGUAGUAGCUAAGCUCUUGAGCCGGCAAGUCUAGAACUUGAGAAACUGCCAGAAAAGGGCAAAUGCGAUGGAAGCUAAUGUUCAUUACUCACCAUCAGCAUUUGUUUUUCAGUCUAAUGGGUUCCUUGAUGAAUGGUGUUGUUAAACAUUUGGAAAAAAUAUAAAAACAAAUUAAUGCGAUGUUCUCUAGCUCCCCACAUCCCCGCCAAACUUCAUGUGUAACAUAAUACCCUCGUGGCGUCUGAGGAGGGUCUCUGCUCUUCGCCCACCCCCUCUGAGUCCUGGGGAGAAGUUCACAGCCUGGUCUGAGCCAGUAGUUCUGACGAAGCGCACACUGAUGUCACUGACCCCACGAAGAUGCGCACGGGACAGUCACCACCUCCUGCUGAAGGCUGAUGCGUAAUCCCAGAGAGCUGUUUUAUUUAUUUACUCAUUUCCUCUAGGCCCUGCCCUCAAAGGGCUUGGAAACUGAAGAAGUUUAAAAAAGAGACAGAGAGAAAUUUUCCUGCCUGAUUCUGGGCUCAGCUGAUGAACGAGGCAACCAGCAACGGAUCAAUAUUGCUUGUAAUAAGUGUUCGGCUGUAGCUACCACUUGCCGGCGCUAAAUGCUCUGUAAUUCAUCCCUCGUGGUACCUCGGUGAGGGAAUGACCAUAAUCCAUAUUUUACUGAUAUGGGAGUUGAAGCUCAUUCUAACCAACUUCCCCGAAUGCUAGUGGCAGAGCCACGCUUGACCUGGGUCUGGCCUGGACUUCACAGCCAUGCUCUUAGCCCCUGGGCUCUGACCGCCCCCAUCCACACGCCCUCUGCUUCACGUCCUAACGCCCCCGGCCGUCUGAUGCUAUCACCUCUCUAAUCACCCACCGUGCUUCUGCCAAGCAGCCAGCCCGUUGCCUCCCCCGCAGCUCACGCCUGCUCCGCUCGGAAGGACGGAAGGACGGAGCAGCCUCCCCAGGCGGGUUCAGAUCUGUGUGUUCUCCCUCCACCCGUUAGUACCGGUUCUGCCCCCAGGGCCUCCCAGAGCCACCUUCCACAGGCCAGCCUUUGGGAUGUCUGGAGGCAAUAUCCCAGCCCGGGGCUGUGCCAGGACAAGGGACCCAGCCCAGGGACUGUCACAGUGGCCAGCAUGGAAGCUGAAUUUGGAGAAGGGCUGGUCACCAGCGCAGGGUAGCUCCCAACAGCACUGCUUCUCCACGGAAGGCCUUUCAUGAACCGACACCCCAGUUCUGCACCUGUUUUCUUAAGUGGACAGAACUCAGGCCCAUCUCCCCAUGGGGUGAAGGUGGGCAGGGCUAUUCCCAUAAUUGCAUCCGGAGACACACUGCGGGUGCGGGGGACCCCGACGGGGCAGGGGGCUGCAGCACGGCUUCCACGGGACAGUCCCUGGGCUGUCCCCUCCGCCCCCAUGGCAGCAGAGCGGAAAUGCAGUGGCCGGACCUCGUGGGUGCCUCUCAGCCCCGCUCCCAUCGGGCAAGGCCUGGGUGCCCCCGGAUGUGACCGCGUGGCUCGGCGUUCCCUCCCCUUGUUCCUUUCUUCUGCUCCUGGGUUUUGUGGAGAAGAGUUUAAGAUGGGACAGCAAACAUUCUCUGCAAAAGGCCAAAAGUAAGUAUUUUAGGCUUUGCGGGCUGUAUAGUCUCUGUUACCACUACUCAGUUCCUCCCCUGCUGCCAGAAAGCGGCCAUGGCCGCAGGUGAUGGGUGAGCUGCUGGUCAACAAAACAUGACUUUAAGACACCAGAAUCUGAAUUUUAUAUAAUUCUAGUGUUCAAAAUACAAUUUUUUUCCAAAUAUUUAAAAAUUUGAAAGUCAUUCAUAGCUUGCCAGCCAUACAAAAACAGGCAGAAGUGCACAUUUGGUCCAUGGACCAGUUUUCAGACCCUCGGUCUAAGAAAGUUUACUGACCCUGAGUGUUAGCUGGGGUGGGACUCUGGCCUGUAUGGUUUCCCAGGGGAGUCUUGACCCCCAGGCUCCGAAUUUGGGCCACGUGGGGCAGGCAUCCUUGGUGGCCCGGUGGGAGAUGAUGCAUCUCUGGCUGUGCCAGGUCCCUGCCCCGCAGCUCCAGUCCCCUGCCCAGGCUGUGCCACGCCCGGAAGCAAUUGCCUCAUGACCUCCGUUUGCGUCUGAACUGUGCGGUGUCCCUCCUUAGAAGGCUUGGCCUGACCAGAGGAAUAGUUAACAGCUGCCUUGAGCUUUGACUCAUUACUUCUAGAAGAAAAAUGCCUGGACAUUAUUUUCCUAGGAAAGAAUUAUCACUAAGAGGAAAUGUGAGGAUUUAGGGACAAUAACAAUUUAACAGGAAACCAGGACUGAACCCGGAGCAGGGACGGGUCCCUGAGUCAGAUCAGCGGAAGGACACGAUCGGCUCUGCCGUGAGCUACAAAGCAGUCUUUUCUGAUCUUAGAUACAUCUCUUAAACUCGGUGUAAGUACCUUUUUGGGUGCAAUGAUGAGAGAGUUGUUUUAUAAAAACUAGAGCUACUUUUAAAUAUUGUUUUCAGUUGCUCACAGCAAGUUGUUUUCUUAAUCUGGAAGUGGGAGUUCUGAGUCCUGCUCAAUGUUCUUUCUUCCAAAGCCCUUGUUUGCCGCAGGGAAGGCCCCAUGCUCUGGCUCCCAUUUGCGUGCCCACUUGUCCGCCCAGGCUGCUCAGCGGGACUCUUCUCCCCACUCACGUGGUGCCCAGGAAAAGGGAGACAGCACGGGUAGGGAGAGCAGGGACCCCAGUCAAAAGGCAGAGGGUGUCCCUACAGCAGAUCACGGACACUCCAGCUGCACCCCGGGCCCCGUGGCUUGAAGGUGAGGGGUGGCUUAGGGCAGAUGCCGGUGCCAGGUCUUCUGCUCACGGAAAAAAUCCAGGGCACUUGGGCAACCAUGCCCGGGCCCACAGGCCUGAAGAAAGGAGACACGCUUCCAGGCCGUCAGCGAGGCGAUGACACAGCCGCACGCUGGCUCCCCCGUGAGAAUGUAUUGAUCCACAGACUACAGGCAGCAGGCAGGGGCCCCAGAACAUACCUCCACUCACAGCACAGAGUACGUCCAAACAACGGACUGCUAGAAAUAUUUUGUUGAUUAUUUAAUAGCCAUUUAAAAAGCAUGAAAGCAGAUAGACCAUAAUGAGCUAAAAUGAUCCGUUACUCAAACAAAUGUAGCUUCGCUGUAUGGUUCCCCCAAAUUCUACUUCUGGGUAUAUAUAUACCCAGGAGAAUGGAAAUCAGUUAAAUCAGAUAUUUGUGCAUAUGUGGUGUACAUACCAUGGAAUAUUAUUCAGCCUUAAAAAGGCAUGAAUUCUGACAUAGGCAACAACAUGGAUGAACUUUGAAGACAUUAUGCUAAUGAAAUAAGCCAGACAUCAAAAGGACAGAUAUUAUAUGAUUUCCCUAUGUGAGGUGCCAGGAAUAAUCAGAUUAACAGACGGAAAGGAUGGUGGUUACCAGGGGCUAGUGGGAGAGGGGAGUGGGGAUCUAGUGUUUCAUGGGUACAGGGUCUCAUUUUGGGAAAAUGAGUUUCUGGAGAUGAAUGGUGGGGAUGGAGGCACAGCAAGGUGAAUGCACUUAAUACCACUCAAAAAUGGAUGAAAUGAUACAUUUUACAUUAUGUAUAUUUUGCCACAAUAAAAAGUUUAUCCAUUAACAAAAGAAGUGAAAAACUUAUAGUCCAAAAACUACAAAACUUUUUUUUUCAUUGUUGGAAGAAAUUAUGGAAGACCUAAAUAAACUGGAAGGCAGCACACAUUUCCAUGGGUCAGAAGACUUAAUAUUGUCAAGAUGACAAGACAAAUUGGUGUCCCGGACGGAUCUACAGACUGAAUGCGAUCCCAUCAAACCCAGGUUAGCGUCUGUGCAGACACUGACGAGCUGAUUCUAAGAUGUUUUUGGAAAUUCAAAGCACCCAGGAUAGCCAAAACAUCUUUAAAAAGGAGGACAGAAUUGGAGGACUACUCACACUUCCCAAUUUCAAACUAACUGGAAAACUGUAAUAAUGAGGAAACUGGUGUGAUACCGGCCUACGGUCAGACAUAUAAAUCCACAGAAUAGAACUGAGAGUCCAGAAAGAAACCCUCACAUUUACAGUCUGUUGAUUUCCCACCGUGGUGCCAAGACAAUUCAGGGAGGAAUGAACAGCCUUUCAUCGCACAGGGCUGGACAACAACGGAAUAUCCACGUGUGAAAGGAAAAGAGUUGGUCGUCUAACUCACGCCAUAUCCCAAAAUUGACACAGGUUAAAGAUCAAGUGUAAGGGUGACACAAAACCGCCAUCCACUUCUGGUGGGAUCAGAAAACGGUGCAGACAUAUACACACGCGUGCGCACGCACACACACACACAUACUCAAGCACACACAUGUGUGCAAACACACACACAUGCAUGCACAGCCGAAGCCUGCAGUGCCUCCCCUGGCUGGGAAGAGUCACAGAAUCUCUGAUGUUUAUAAUGUGAUUGAACUCCCCCCUUUCAUUGGUGACCUUUGGUUAGGUUGAAUCAUUUCCUUUGGAAAUAAAAGAAA